GCUCAGUGGUAGAGCACUUGCCUAGCAUGCAUGAGGUCCUGGGUUCAAUCCCCAG
RNAcentral lists this transfer RNA (55 nucleotides) under Fukomys damarensis (Damara mole-rat). It matches the Rfam family "tRNA", at positions 10 to 63 of the family's 71-position model. Rfam says of the family: Transfer RNA (tRNA) molecules are approximately 80 nucleotides in length. Their secondary structure includes four short double-helical elements and three loops (D, anti-codon, and T loops). Lineage: Eukaryota; Metazoa; Chordata; Mammalia; Rodentia; Bathyergidae. The record is from Rfam by way of RNAcentral.